CAGCCCCCGCGCGGCGUUUACCUCGCCAACUCCCCCAGGGCCGGAAGGCAGCAAGGGUACGCGGGCUCUGACGGGUGCGCGGGGGUCCCUU
RNAcentral lists this signal recognition particle RNA (91 nucleotides) under Nocardiopsaceae bacterium. Its description in RNAcentral is "signal recognition particle sRNA small type". It matches the Rfam family "Bacterial small signal recognition particle RNA". Rfam says of the family: The signal recognition particle (SRP) is a universally conserved ribonucleoprotein involved in the co-translational targeting of proteins to membranes. Archaeal SRP consists of a 7S RNA and homologues of the eukaryotic SRP19 and SRP54 proteins. In most bacteria, the SRP consists of a 4.5S RNA and the Ffh protein (a homologue of the eukaryotic SRP54 protein). Lineage: Bacteria; Bacillati; Actinomycetota; Actinomycetes; Streptosporangiales; Nocardiopsidaceae. The record is from RNAcentral.